Molecule: small nuclear RNA, 165 nt
Filed under: Castor canadensis (American beaver)
Lineage: Eukaryota; Metazoa; Chordata; Mammalia; Rodentia; Castoridae
Description: U1 spliceosomal RNA (ENSCCNG00000028525.1)
Rfam family: U1 spliceosomal RNA
About the family: U1 is a small nuclear RNA (snRNA) component of the spliceosome (involved in pre-mRNA splicing). Its 5' end forms complementary base pairs with the 5' splice junction, thus defining the 5' donor site of an intron.
Source: Rfam by way of RNAcentral
AUAUUUACUUGGCAGAGUGGAUACCAUGAUCAUGAAGGUGAUUUUCCAAGGGUGAGGCUUAUCCAUUGUAUUCUGGAUGUGCUGGCUCCUGCAAUUUUCCCAAAUGUGGGGAAUUCAGUUGCAUAAUUUGUGGCAGUAGGGGACUGAGUUCAUGCUCUGCUCUGG